RNAcentral lists this ribosomal RNA (325 nucleotides) under uncultured eukaryote. Its description in RNAcentral is "partial 18S ribosomal RNA". It matches the Rfam family "Eukaryotic small subunit ribosomal RNA", at positions 1470 to 1796 of the family's 1831-position model. The record is from RNAcentral.
CCCUUAGAUGUUCUGGGCCGCACACGCGCUACACUGAUGCAUUCAACGAGCCUAUCCUUGACCGACAGGUCCGGGUAAUCUUUGAAUCUGCAUCGUGACGGGGAUAGAUUAUUGCAAUUAUUAAUCUUCAACGAGGAAUGCCUAGUAGGCGCAAGUCAUCAGCUUGCGUCGAUUACGUCCCUGCCCUUUGUACACACCGCCCGUCGCUCCUACCGAUUGGGUGUGCUGGUGAAAUGUUCGGAUCGGCCGUUUGUCGCGGUUUCCGCGGCUCGUGGCUGAGAAGUUCAUUAAACCCUCCCACCUAGAGGAAGGAGAAGUCGUAACA